GAUCCUGGCUCAGGAUGAACGCUGGCGGCGUGCUUAACACAUGCAAGUCGAACGAAGCAUUUAGAACAGAUUACUUCGGUUUGAAGUUCUUUAUGACUGAGUGGCGGACGGGUGAGUAACGCGUGGGUAACCUGCCUUGGUACUGGGGGAUAGCAGCUGGAAACGGCUGGUAAUACCGCAUAAGCGCACAAUGUUGCAUGACAUAGUGUGAAAAACUCCGGUGGUAUAAGAUGGACCCGCGUCUGAUUAGCUUGUUGGUGAGGUAACGGCCCACCAAGGCGACGAUCAGUAGCCGGCCUGAGAGGGUGAACGGCCACAUUGGGACUGAGACACGGCCCAAACUCCUACGGGAGGCAGCAGUGGGGAAUAUUGCACAAUGGGGGAAACCCUGAUGCAGCGACGCCGCGUGAGUGAAGAAGUAUUUCGGUAUGUAAAGCUCUAUCAGCAGGGAAGAAAGUGACGGUACCUGAAUAAGAAGCCCCGGCUAACUACGUG
This 495-nucleotide ribosomal RNA is filed under the name uncultured bacterium. Its description in RNAcentral is "bacterial SSU rRNA". It matches the Rfam family "Bacterial small subunit ribosomal RNA", at positions 15 to 507 of the family's 1533-position model. The record is from RNAcentral.